UACGGAGGGUGCAAGCGUUAAUCGGAAUUACUGGGCGUAAAGCGCGCGUAGGUGGUUCAGUCAGUCAGAUGUGAAAGCCCCGGGCUCAACCUGGGAACUGCACCUGAUACUGCUGAACUAGAGUACGGUAGAGGGCAGUGGAAUUUCCUGUGUAGCGGUGAAAUGCGUAGAUAUAGGAAGGAACACCAGUGGCGAAGGCGACUGCCUGGACUGAUACUGACACUGAGGUGCGAAAGCGUGGGGAGCAAACAGG
RNAcentral lists this ribosomal RNA (253 nucleotides) under uncultured bacterium. RNAcentral describes it as "partial 16S ribosomal RNA". It matches the Rfam family "Bacterial small subunit ribosomal RNA", at positions 524 to 776 of the family's 1533-position model. The record is from RNAcentral.